GAUGAACGCUGACAGAAUGCUUAACACAUGCAAGUCGAUGGGGAAGUGGUGCUUGCACCAUGGUAACCAUGGCGGACGGGUGAGUAACGCGUAAGGAACUUGCCUGCGGGACUGGGAUAACAGCAGGAAACUGCUGAUAAUACCGGAUAAGGUCAUUAAGCUGCAUAGCUUAGUGAUGAAAGGAGACGCCUGCGGAGAGCCUUGCGUCCUAUUAGCUAGUUGGAGGGGUAACGGCCCACCAAGGCGAAGAUAGGUAGCCGGCCUGAGAGGGUGGACGGCCACAAGGGGACUGAGAUCCGGCCCUUACUCCUACGGGAGGCAGCAGUGGGGAAUAUUGGACAAUGGGGGCAACCCUGAUCCAGCAAUUCUGUGUGCACGAAGACGGUUUUCGGAUUGUAAAGUGCUUUCAGCAGGGAAGAAGGAAGUGACGGUACCUGCAGAAGAAGCGACGGCUAAAUACGUG
RNAcentral lists this ribosomal RNA (463 nucleotides) under uncultured bacterium. RNAcentral's name for it is "partial 16S ribosomal RNA". It matches the Rfam family "Bacterial small subunit ribosomal RNA", at positions 28 to 507 of the family's 1533-position model. The record is from RNAcentral.